This 253-nucleotide ribosomal RNA is filed under the name uncultured bacterium. Its description in RNAcentral is "partial 16S ribosomal RNA". It matches the Rfam family "Bacterial small subunit ribosomal RNA", at positions 524 to 776 of the family's 1533-position model. The record is from RNAcentral.
UACGUAGGGGGCUAGCGUUGUCCGGAAUCAUUGGGCGUAAAGAGCGUGUAGGCGGCCCGGUAAGUCCGCUGUGAAAGUCCAGGGCUCAACCCUGGGAUGCCGGUGGAUACUGUCGGGCUCGAGUCCGGAAGAGGCGAGUGGAAUUCCUGGUGUAGCGGUGAAAUGCGCAGAUAUCAGGAGGAACACCAAUGGCGAAGGCAGCUCGCUGGGACGUGACUGACGCUGAGACGCGAAAGCGUGGGGAGCAAACAGG